Molecule: transfer RNA, 60 nt
Filed under: Xiphinema pachtaicum
Lineage: Eukaryota; Metazoa; Nematoda; Enoplea; Dorylaimida; Longidoridae
Description: tRNA-Pro
Source: RNAcentral
AAGCAAAAGUUUUAAAACACAGAGUUUGGGACUCUGAAUUGGGCUUUAUCUCUUUGCUUC